This 414-nucleotide ribosomal RNA is filed under the name Modisimus paraiso. RNAcentral's name for it is "partial 16S ribosomal RNA". The record is from RNAcentral. Lineage: Eukaryota; Metazoa; Arthropoda; Arachnida; Araneae; Pholcidae.
AUUUUUUUAAGAAGUUAUUAUUUAAAAUAAAACCUGCUCAAAUGUAAUUAAUAAAUAGCUGCAGAAUAUCUGUACUAAGGUAGCAUAAUCAUUAGCUUUUUAAUUAAAAGAUAGAAUGAAUGGUUAAACGAAAUAAAUACUGUUUCUAAAUAUAUAAUUAAAUUAAAAUAAAAGUAAAAAUUCUUUUAAUAUUAAGAAAGACGACAAGACCCUAAAAACUAAUAUUUUAGCUGGGGCGGCAAAUAAACAAACCUUAAUUCAAACAAAAAAAAAUUCUAAAUAAAUUAAUAAACCAAGUUACUAUAGGGAUAACAGCGCAACUUUAGUUCAAAGUUCUUAUUUUAACUAAAAUCUACGACCUCGAUGUUGAAUUAAUUUUACUAAUAAAAGCAAAAAUUUAUUAAGAAGGUCUGU